Molecule: ribosomal RNA, 460 nt
Filed under: uncultured bacterium
Lineage: Bacteria
Description: partial 16S ribosomal RNA
Rfam family: Bacterial small subunit ribosomal RNA
Source: RNAcentral
CCUACGGGAGGCAGCAGUGAGGAAUAUUGGUCAAUGGGCGCGAGCCUGAACCAGCCAAGUAGCGUGAAGGAUGACUGCCCUACGGGUUGUAAACUUCUUUUAUAAAGGAAUAAAGUGAGGCACGUGUGCCUUUUUGUACGUACUUUAUGAAUAAGGAUCGGCUAACUCCGUGCCAGCAGCCGCGGUAAUACGGAGGAUCCGAGCGUUAUCCGGAUUGAUUGGGUGUAAAGGGAGCGUAGAUGGGUUGGUAAGUCAGUUGUGAAUGUUUGCGGCUCAACCGUAAAAUUGCAAUUGAUACUGGCUGCCUUGAGUACAGGUGAGGUAGGCGGAAUUCGUGGUGUAGCGGUGAAAUGCUUAGAUAUCACGAGGAACUCCGAUGGCGAAGGCAGAUUACUAAACUGCCACUGACACUGAUGCGCGAAAGUGUGGGUAUCAAACAGGAUUAGAUACCCGAGUAGUC